AGCUUUGUUCAAUGACAGCAUCAUAGCCAAUGAGGUUAAUCUGAGGCACAGUUAUUGCUAAUUGAAAUAUUUUCCCCAUUAUCAGCACACUAAACCAAUCAGUGGGCUGGCUAAUUUAGUUAUCACACAUUUAA
Fukomys damarensis (Damara mole-rat) is the source of this 134-nucleotide small nuclear RNA. Its record names the gene U4. It matches the Rfam family "U4 spliceosomal RNA". Rfam says of the family: U4 small nuclear RNA (U4 snRNA) is a component of the major U2-dependent spliceosome. The structure of U4 snRNA from yeast and human has been reported. The record is from Ensembl. NCBI's taxonomy places the organism in Eukaryota, Metazoa, Chordata, Mammalia, Rodentia, Bathyergidae.